UUGCAGUACUUCAUCCUUUUUAAUUCUUCAGCCGAUGGGAUUACAUGAUUAGGUGACAAUUUGAUCUGACCCUCUUGAAGCAGAAAGUCAAAUAUCCUAUCGGCCUUAGUGAUGUCAAACACGAACUUCUUUGGCUCUUUAUGCCCAAGACAAGACAUCGGUUUCUUAUUUUUCACCCCUUCUGCCAAGCCGAUGACUGGUUCUUCAUCAGAGUCCGAGCUUGUCGCUUCAUCCACAAAUGAUACCUUUUUAUUCCAUGCUCUCUUGGGCUCAAAAGGCUUGAUAUCUUGAUCAGAAAUUCUCUGCACCAAAUGACUUAAGCUUUCGAACUCCUGAGAUGCAUAUUUAUCCUUGAUGUGUGGCAACAAACCCUGGAAAGCCAAAUCGGCUAACUGCCGAUCAUCCAGAACCAGGCUAUAGCAUUUGUUCUUGACUUCCUGUAUCCUCUGCACAAAACUUUCAACCGAUUCAUCAUUACGUUGCUUCAAUUUGACCAAAUCAGUGAUCUUCUCAUGGACUCGAGAAAAGAAAUAUUUGUGAAAUUGCUUUUCUAGAUCGGCCCAUGUAAUCACUGAGUUAGGAGGUAAUGAUAUAAACCAGGUGAACGCCGAUCCAGACAUUGACGACGAGAAUAAUCGGACCCUUAACUCGUCUCUGUUAGCAGCUUCUCCACAUUGAAUGAUAAACUUGUUGACAUGUUCCAUAGUUGACGUGUCAUCCUGCCCAGAAAACUUAGUAAAAUCCGGCACUUUGUACCGAUUUGGGAGCGGGAUUAAAUCAUAAGCAGGAGGAUACGGUGUCUGAUAAGAGUAAGUGUUGACUUUGGGUUUUAUCCCAAAUUGGUCUCUCAUUACUUCAGCAAUCUUAUCGGCCCAAUAAGCAUCGGCAUCUUGCCGAUGAGGUGGUUGCGGAUAUGGGAUCUGCUGAUAUGCUUCCACGUGUCUAUGCGGGGCGCGAUCUGCAUGGAACAUUGGGUUGAUCAUCUGGCCACCAACCUGCUGUCCACCAAACUGUGGACCACCAAUCUGCUGCCCAAGAUUCAUCGGCUGGUUGGGCAAUCCUUGAUUCUGGAACCCAGGGUAGAUUUGGCCUUGUUGGAACCCCGUAGCCUGAUGAUUCUUUUGGGGCAUUUGUGGAAACACUUGCUGCCCAGACCAUCCACUAUUAGCAUUCAUCGGCAUAGGUCCUACCGAUGACUGGUAAUUGGGCAUCAUCAUUGAGUUGACAUACCCUUGCUGAGCCAUAAACCUCUGCUGCGUCGGCAUUGAGUCUGUCGAUGCAUUAGGCAUCUGGAACGUUGGAGCUUGAGAAUUCCCAGUGUAAGGCCUUGCAGUAGUGGUUGUAGUAUACUGGGGACUCUGAUUCAUCGGCAUAUUUGGAGGUGCCGAUGCCAUAGGAACCUUGCCUCUCAUAUCAGCUGCCUGAGACGUGCCAGGUGUCUUCAAGUAUUCCGGGGGCAUACCGAAACCCCACCAAUUAGGGGGAACCGAUCCCGACAUUGCCGAUGCCAAUAGAUCUGUAGUAAGCUUUAUCGACUCAUCGGAUGUUGAUGGAUUAGAUGGCAUCGGCGUUGAUUGCGCAUUAGACACUCCUAGCGUGCUUGGAGGAAUAGUAGUUUUUGUGCCCGCAGCGGCCGUAGCAGCCGAUGGAGCUGUCACCACUGGCGAUCCCGGCUGAUGAUAGACAGGGCCCACAUAAUUUGGUGGCAAUUGUCCUUCUUUGAAAGUUCUAGCCACGGCAUUGAAAACCGUAUUGGACAGCACACCAGCUUGGUUGAUCAAGGCACGGUUGAUAGCAUUAUCGACCAUGUCUUGGAGUUUACCAGGAUUGGCGUCGAAGGUAACCUGCCGAGGUGCCGGCAAUGCUUCUUUCUGGAUAACUUCGCCGCUCCUGUUUAUGCUAAAGGCCUUGAGACAUUGUUGCUUGUAAUCCUCCAUAGCCUUCGCAAUAGCUUGCUUCUGCUCAUCUUUGAGGCUAGCUUCUGUCACAGGGAUGACGUUCUCCAAAUCAAAAUCGCUAGUCGCCAUGCCGAUCUUGAUCUUGAAUAAGGUCCCACCAGGCGUGCCAAAAGAUGUGUUGAUGCAAAAGUUGAUCUGCAAACACAAAAGGCUAAUACCCGAUUUAAACGUUAAGGCGUGCCAGCCGAUUUGACCUUGCUAUCAGCAAAGGUGAUAACUCGAAUACUUUGGUCCCGACAACAGCGAUGCGCCCAGAUGCCACGGCCAAGAGGUAUUCACGCGGAACUUGAGAACACGUCGAGCUUAAGUCGACGGAUUCCUAAGAACUCAUAAUAAAAAGGAAAAAGUAUGACGAAGUCGUCGAAAAAGUAGAUGCUGGAAUAUGAGUAAAAACUUAUGUUUGAUUGAUUGGUAGAUGUCUCAAUUACAAAGCCCUAGGGUCUACAUUUAUACCCUGCUCGAAAGAGCUACAACCAGACACGACUAGAACUCGAAUUCCAAAUUAAACAGAAUCCGUAUACAAGACGAUCUAAAUAACUAAGGAAAAUCAUAAAACUAUCCCCCACGACAACCUGGGACACCACAAUAGACCAAUCGACAACCUUCAAGUCUUCCUUCCGCGUCAUCGGCAGACUCUCCAUCGUAGACAUUGGCAAAGGUUAUUGCCGGCCAUCGGCACAAACACGUCACCACCCAUGGACUUAGCCACAGCCAGCCGUCUCCUCAUCGGUAACCACCCUCAUCGGCAACUCUUCUGUAGACCACUUACCGUUGCCCUGUCUUGCCGAUCUAUACUCUACCAAUCCUGGGUACGUGUCCAAAAACGGUGUCAACAGAUACAACCCAAAAGAAUAUGGUCCAUGGACUUGGUUUCCUAAUCACAAAAAAUGCACGUACCCGUCACUUGCAAACCGUGACAGAAAUGACGCUCCGCCGUCCAGCACUGGCCAUGUAGGACGAGCCAGAAGAAGAAUCGAACUCUUGGCGGCGCAACAGUCCUCCAAAUUUGUUUUGCACCGAUUGGUAUGGUCAAACCUAGGAACAUGGCGCCGUAAGCAGAGGCACUCGAAUAGUUGCCAUUAGGCGAGAGGGUCCACGUGAAAGUAUCCGGCCUGCCCUGUAGUUAGUUGAACUUGCUCCAGCAUAUCGUACAGGGCAGCUGCCUCGACGACCAGCUGCAAGGUGAAUGCCUCGGACAGGUGCUGAGCCCAGGCGUGCAGCGGCAAGGCCUCAGCCACCGUCGCCCUCAUCUUCCGUUGGCGCACCGCGAGAAACAACGUUGGUGCGAGGCUGCAUAUACUCCUACCAUUGAGCCAUCGAUCAGUCCAGAAGAGCACAGAUCUACCAUCACCAAGAGUGAUCGCCAUGGCCACCUGAGCUAAGGCGAGAGCCCCAUGCUCGGUCGUUCUCGCCGCCCGUCCGUGUCGCCUGUCCUGCCAGACCCAACGUGUUCUGAAGGCCAUGCCCGUUUGCCUCAGCUCAGUGACGCCGAGGCCACCGAGCUCCUUUGGCAUGCAGACCCUGAGCCAACAAAUUUGCAUCUCCCUCCCGCCACCCCUGUCGUCCCAGCCCAAAUGAAACCACGCCUGAGCUUAUCGAUUACCUAGAUAGCCCAAGGCGAGAGUACCAGCGUGAUGGCAGUGUGGACUGGAAUAGCAGAUAACGUUGCCUUGACCAAUGCAGUGCGCCCAACUAUGUUGGGGAGAACUCCUUUCCAACUGGGUAGACGCGCCGCGACCUUGUCAACAAGAGGUUGCUCGUCAGCGCGCUUCAGCUUGUAGACGGACAACGGAAUCCCCAAGUAAUGAAUAGGAAAUUCGGCCACCCCGCAAGCAAGGAUCUCCUACACACGCAACAUGUCGGACUCAGUGCAGUGCAUUGGGGUCACUACGCUUUUGUCCAAGUUGGAGAACAGGCCUGAAGCACACCCAAAGACCUCAAGGAUAGCCUUAAUCGCGCGAAGGUCGGCCUCCAACGGUGCGACGAAGACCACCACAUCGUCCGCAUACAUGCUCACCCGGGAGCCCUCGACAGCUGGGAUCGGUGCUAGCAGGCCAUUGCAUUCCGCCCACCCUAAGCAUUUGUUCAGCACCUCCAUGGCCAAGACGAACAAAAGCGGCGACAAGGGGUCCCCUUGCCUUAGCCCAAGAGCAUGGCAAAUGCGACUCCCUGGGUUGCCAUUUAGAAGGAUUCUUGUGCUUGCAGUUGACAGUAAAACCAACACCCAGUUGCGCCACCUUCUCGGGAAGCCCAUGUGCUGAAGGACCUCUAGCAAAAAACACCAUGCAAUGCUGUCGAACGCCUUGGUGAUAUCGGAGUAAGCAUGGUAGCCGAGCCCUGUGAAUGGCCAUGCAAUUUAGCUGAACCGAUCUGAAGUUUUCAUGGAUACUCCGGCCUCGGAUGAAGGUGCUCUGGUUUGUGCACAAGCCGUUGCAGCACUGCCAAAGCUGUGAAUCAGGCUAAUGGGUCUAUAAUCGUGGAUUUGCGAUGGUUGUUCCUUCUUCUUUAUGAGGACCAUAAAGACCUCAUUUAGAUGGUAGAGGCUCCUAUAUUCCUGCGCCCAGAAGGCGUUUACUGCGUGCAUGAUGUCCACCUUCAUAAUGUGCCAGCAGCGCUUGUAGAAUAAGCCCGUGAAACCGUCAGGGCCCGGUGUUUUGUUGUUGGGCAUCUGUUGUAUGGCAACCCAUACUUCGUCCUCUGAGAACAGCCGCUCCAAGUCAUGGAGAUCCUCGCAUGCAAGUCGAAGCGUCUUGAGCACUCAAAAUUUGUGCCCAUGAUGCCGUUGAAGUACUCAUAUAGUGCCAAAUCCUUUUCUUUGUCACGGACCAGCCGCACCCCUUGCACAUCGAGGCUGUCAAUACGGUUUCUGCAGUUCCUAUGACACGCUUGCAAGUGGUAAAAUUUCGUGUUUGCAUCCCCUUCGUGCAAGAACAGCACCCGCGCACGCUGUCAUGCAAUACACCCGGAGAAGGACGCGAGGCCCAGCACGCGCAUCUUUAGGGCUCUGCGAGAAUCCGCUUCAUGCGGUAGCAGCUGUCUCCUCUCCAUCUCUUCAUCCAGUAUAAGAAUGGCCUCCCGUGCAAGAAGCAGCUGCAGCCGCACAUUGCCAAUCUGGAUACUACUCCCUCUCUUUAGCUCUCUAGCCACGUUCCUGAACUUGUGGUCAAGCCUGCGGAAAGGAUCAGCUUGUGGGAUCGUUACAACCCAAGCUACAGCCACAACGUCAUAGAAUCCGUGUAUCUUAGCCCAGAAUGCCUCAAAACGAAAACAACGUUUAGUUCGACCAGUACAUCGAAGCUCAAGAGGAGGGGACAGUGAUCAGAGCAGUCGGAAGAAAGCGGCUUCAAAAGAUGAUUAGAGAACCGGAUCAGCCAAUCCGCCGUGACAAAGACACGAUCAAGGAGCUCCAGCGUCGGAAGCACCGUUCCACUGGACCAAGUAAAGCGGCGUCUAGCGAGGCUAAUCUCAUCAAGCUGCGCCCGAUUAACGAAUGCCCAGAAUCUUGCCAUGCCUCUUCUGUCAAGCCUGUCGUUGUUCUUAUCAGCAGCGCUAAGAAUCAUGUUGAAAUCACCACAGACACACCAGGGUCCAUCCAUACCAUUUCUAAAGGCGAGGAGCUCAUCCACCGCAUCAUUGAGGGAAGUAUCACGCCCUCACCGAACUCAUCCCUUGGCAGGGUGCUCUCUUCAGCACCACAGGCAGCUGCGAACGUGCUAACACUUCUCUUCUCCUUCUUUUAGACUUUUGUAACCUGUAACGUUUUCCUUUUAUAAAUAAAGCACUGUAGGGGUGCAAACCCCUCCAGUUUUACUCAAAAAAAACAUGAGGCCGUAAUAGGUCACUUCACGUGCCCACAACCUUGUUCGAUGAAAUGUUGCACUGCGUCACCAAUAACCCUGUCACGCUGUGGCAGUUUUAAUUUGCUGCAUUCAUCCUUCACUGCAAUCGAAGCUCAAGGCAAGAUUACGACAAAUAUCUCACCAAGUAACAUGCUCAAAUCUCACUUGUGUAUAUAUGUUUGAUUGGAUGUUUUACUUUUCCUCUCAACAAACGUGUAGUACAAAUCUUUGCACGUCACUAAUAAAUUUCUUUGAUAGACUGAUAGGGACCAAAUCUUUGCACCAGGUAAACUGGCAUCUCACACAUGGAUGAACUCACGGACCAUAUGCAUGCCACCCUUAUAUCAACAGUUGUUUCAUUUGCGUGUUAAACCAUUGUUCUAGACUAGAGUGGACGAGUGCUUCAAAUAUUUUUUUUCCUAUGUCAUCCAUUGCAGACAACUUUACAUUUAUCUUGUGCUGAAAAUGCAUUCCAGUUCCACGGAACCCUCCUUUUAGUUGGACACCUAGCUUUUUAAGUCCAAGGAUAGCCACGAAAAAACAAAUAUUGGCAAACAUGAUCAGUCUUAUUUACACCACCGAAUCACGAUAUUGAGUUCCAGACAAAAUUUCUAAUAUCACAAACUCCAAGAUUUAUGGUGGCCCACUCAAAUGCAUGAUUGAACCCUCUUCUUAGCAGUAGUUGUAGAGACCGCUGUGGCCAUGGCAAGCUAGGGGAUCCAUGUACUUCUAUUUCCAAUAGAAUUUCAGCUGCUGCCGUACGUGAGAUUCUAGGUUCUGAAUUUCGUGUGUUCGUGCUUUUUCUUUGAAUCGAUCUUCACUCCUCACAAUUGGUAUCCAAAGCCACGUGUUCUUGGCCAAAAUUUUCUCAUCCCACUCGCGGUCCAGCUCUCGGAGUUUGGCAAGGGAGAUGCAGAUGCUACAUGACCAGGUCGUCCGGCCACGGUGGAGAGAGGCGCUGCGGAUAGCGGGGGAGGCAGCCGCUGUAGGGUGCGGUGAGAGAGAUGACUGGAGGGAUCUAGAACCAUCUCUAAUCUAACGGCUCGUAAAAACCCUGCGAGAGAUUCAGCAGCUGAAAAUUUGGGACAGGUGGCUUGAUGAGAGGCUGGAGUCCAUGGUGCAACUUUCGUCUUGUUGAAGAUUAAAGAUCCGUGAUGUCUCAGGUAGCAGCUCUCCCAGCCUAAGUACACGGCUCGGUGCAGAAUAAGUUGCAGACCAAAAGUAAGUUUAGUCUAAUGCAAUUACAAGGUAUAAGCGUGCUAGCUAAUUUGAUGACAUUUGUUGAUGUCCCUUGGAUGGCCGAUUGACGGUUCUGGAGAAAAACAGCGAGUCAUUGGUAGCUAGCCCCUGACGACUGAUUACUUGUAUCCUGAACAUAGUAAAAAGAGAGAUUUAGUCCUAAAAAAAUAGCUUUUCCUUCUAUGAUCAUUUUUUUUAACUUACCUCUAUAGCCCUGAAACGAUUUUUUGUCACUUUUAUGGCAUUCUGUUCAUUUUCAGCAGAUAACGAUGUUAAAUGGAGGAUAAAAAGACCAUUUUACCCUUGGCGUAAAAAAUUGUAGAGUUUUGUCUGUUUGCUGUAUAUUUGAGUAAUAUUUAGCAAAUAAAUUCAUAUAUAAUAGUAGGGCAUAUUUGGAGUCAAAAAAUGUGGAGUUUUGUUUGUAUACUAUGUGUGAAUUUAUUUGCUAAAUAUUACUCCAAAUAUACAACAGACAAACAAAACUCUACAAUUUUUUUACACCAAGGGCAAAAUAGUCUGUUUACCCUCUAGUUAACACUGGUCUCUGCUAAAAACGGAUGGAAGACCAUAGAAGUAAUAAAAGUUCGUUUGAAGGUCAUAAAGGUAAGUUCAAAAAAAGGACCAUAUAAGAAAAAGUCAUUUUUUCAGUCUCUAGUAAAAAUGACAUCUAGCCAGGACUAUUGUGCACCAGCCUUCGAAAGAACUUACCAACUAGUCGAAGAUUUAUUAUUUGAAGGUGAAAGAUCAAUCAUGUAUCAGACCAUGCUUUCCCUUUCCAUCUGCCGUACACACAACACAUUUACCUCCAUACAAAAAGAAUAGAAAGAAUAUGAAAUUAGCAGGCUACAAUCUUCAAUCCAGCGUAGUACUGUGAGAUGACAGACAGUGAGACAACAACAAACAACAUGGUGAGAUGGUGAGCUGGUACUGCAGCACACAACCCUUCACAAUCUCGGCACUCAGAUCUGGAGCAUUUGGGGGCAUCGGAUCCAGAGAGAAGAGGCAACACUCGAGCAGCAGGGUUGAUGGGGGCGAGCGGAAGGACCUGUAGUGGUUGGGGGAGGGGGAGCUCUUGGGGCGGCGGUGGAAGACAUCCGUGAUGGCGAAGGGAUGGCCAUUGGCGACGGAGGAAGAGAUGGCCGGCGGGGGCGGCGGAAGCAGCUUGGUAGCAGCCGACUAUGGAUUCCGGUGGGUGGUGGUGUGGCGGAUUUGGUGAGGUGGCAAGGAGCGAAUAGCGGGCGACGGACGGGAGAAGUGCGCGUCGGAUUGGAUCGCCUAAUAUAUAUAAGCGCAUGUGCCAUUUUUUAUGUGUGGCAACGGAUCUAGUGUAAACUCAUCUCCUGUGUAAACUGUGCAAACUCUAAUGUGGACCGCAGGAUGUUGAUCCAAGAAGGUGCAUGAGAGAGGUGGAAGGAGGAAUUUGUAAAAGUGUGAAUAAGAGUGGGCAUUUAAGUGCAAAAUUACUCAAUCUCUCCGCCCCUUGGAUCAACAUCCUGUAGUCCAGAUUAAAGUUUGCACAGUUUAUACGGGAGAUGAGUUUACACUAAAUCUAUUGCCUUUUUACGUUGCUGUGCCGUUCUGCCCAGCGUUUUUGCUGCGCGCUGAUAUUUUCACAGCGCGUGCCUCGCGCCCUUGCCAAUUCCAGCGUGCGCCAAGGUUGGACCCCCUGUUUCUGAGUCGGUACGCAUGGACCAUCAGUGUAAAGGCUCAAUGCUCAAUGCUCCUGUCGUUCCCUUGGCCCUACCAUCAGGGGGAAAAUACUUUCAGGUAGAGUGGUGAGAGGGCAAUUUAGUGUUUGGGUCACAAGUGGAUUAUCAUACUCAAAAUUAUGCAUGUGAUCAUUAUAAUCAGAAUUUUAGAUUAAUAAAUAAUCAAGAGUGUUUGGAUCCCUAGAUUAUCAUGGUUGAGUCUAGUUGAAGUGACAAGUUCUUAUCUACCCUUUAGAUUGGCGCCACUUUUGAGCUGACUAUUAAACCGUGUGUAUUUGUGGGUGUCUAGGUUCAUGUCAUAGUCUAGAUACUUUGGUUAACCAUAGUCCUAGAUUGUAGGGCAAGUAGAUACUUAGCAUGCAGUUUGUUGUAACCAUAUUAUCUUGUUGUGUAAGCCACGGUGGGGGCUGUUCCCACCUUUAUAUAACACGCAACCGAGGGAGCAAGGCUCAACCUCGUUAACCCCAGUUGCCAUCUCUUUUUACAUGGUAUCGGAGCCAUCCAACUCCCUACGGAGAAACUUCAUGGCGUUCCAUCUAGCUUCGUCCUCCGGUGCAUCUACUGUGCCGUCCUUCGGUUUCUCGGUGACGGAGAAACUCGCCCACAACAACUACCCCAUGUGGAAGAUGCAAGUCCUCUCGGCGCUCAAGGGAGCGCAGCUCGCGUCCUUCAUCAACUCCGAAGCCAAGCCGCCUUCGUCGUUCCUGGAACCGAUGAAAGUCGAGGACAAGAAGGAGCCACCCAAGACCAAUCCUGAAUUCGAGUCUUGGGUCGCUAAGGAUCAGACGGUCCUUCACUUCCUCCUAUCUUCGCUGUCCAAGGAGAUCCUUGGACAAGUUCCCACCACCGUGGCAUCUGCAAAGGAGGCGUGGACGGCCAUCGAUGGGAUGUUUGCAUCCCAGUCUCGCGCGCACAUCAUCAGCACGCGGAUGGCCUUGGCAACGGCGUCCAAAGGGGCGUCAUCGAUCAGUGAGUUUUUCGUUAAGAUGAAAGCUUUGGUUGAUGAAAUGGCUUCUGCUGGCCGUAAGAUCGAAGAUGAGGAGCUGGUCUCCUACAUUCUUAUGGGUUUGGACAGGGAAUAUGAUCCCGUGGUGUCGGCGGUGGCGGCACGUGUCGAACCAAUCUCAGUUGGGGAACUUUAUACCCAGCUGACAAGUUUUGAGCAGAGAAUGGAGAUGAAGAAUGGCGGCGGUGGCUAUCAGUCAUCGUCAAACAUGGCGUCCAGAGGAGGACGUGGCAAUUACCGCGGCGGCGCUCGCGGUGGAGGUGGUCGCGGUGGCUUUGGCUGUGGCCAGAGAGGCGGACGCACCAGCGGUCGCCCACAGGGAAGCUUCCAAGCUGGCGUCAUCUGUCAGCUAUGCGGCAAGGAAGGGCACACUGUCGUCAAGUGCUUCAAACGGUUUGAUGCCUCAUUCACAGGACCUCCAUAGAAGUCAGCUUCUUCUACGACUACCUCGUAUGGGGUGGACACAAACUGGUACAUGGACACUGGUGCAACCGAUCACAUAACAAGUGAUCUUGAGAAGCUGACCACAAGGGACAAGUACAAUGGUGGUGACCAAGUGCACGCUGCAAACGGGAUCGGUAUGGAAAUAACUCACAUUGGUCAUAGUACUUUACGUUCCCCUUCCAGCAAUAUUCAUCUAAGUAAUAUUCUACGUGUUCCCAAGGCAAACAAAAACCUAGUCUCUGUACAUCGUCUUACUCGUGAUAAGAAUGCUUAUGUUGAAUUUCAUCCAAAUCAUUUUCUUAUCAAGGAACAGGCGACGAAGAGAACCCUCCUUCAAGGCAGAUGUGAAGGAGGGCUCUAUCCCCUACAUUCUCCCUCCAGCCAGUCAUCCAAAAAUAAAGAAGUCCACAACGUCAUCAAGCCGUCAUCAUCCUUGUGGCAUCAUAGGCUAGGUCAUGCUGCUGCUCCAGUAGUACAACAAGUGCUUAGUCGCCACAAGAUUUCUUUUUCUAGAGAUUUGAAUAAUAAUAUUUGUAAUGCCUGUCAGCAAGGCAAAAGUCAUCAAUUACCAUAUCCACGUUCUACUAGUGUGUCUACUAGACCAUUAGAACUUGUUUUCUCUGAUGUUUGGGGUCCUGCACCAACCUCUGUCGGCCGCAAUAAUUACUAUGUGAGCUUUAUUGAUGAUUAUAGUAAGUUCACAUGGAUUUAUCUCUUGCGUUACAAAUCCGAAGUUUUUCAAUGCUUCAAGGAUUUCCAACAGCUUGUUGAACGGCAAUUCGGCCAUAAAAUUCUAGCUAUGCAAACUGACUGGGGAGGAGAAUAUCAAGCUCUUAGCCCUUUCUUCAGACGUGUAGGUAUUGCCCAUCACGUCUCUUAUUGCCCUCAUGCACAUCAACAAAAUGGGUCUGCUGAAAGGAAACAUCGACACAUUGUUGAAGUUGGCCUUUCACUCCUUUCACAUUCAUCCAUGCCUCUAAAGUUCUGGGAUGAAGCUUUUCUAACAGCGGUUUACUUGAUAAAUUGUUUACCCUCCAAAGUUAUAAAUAAUGAGACUCCCUACACUAGGUUGCUUGGCCAAGAACCCAACUAUCAUUUCCUACGCACGUUUGGUUGUGCCUGUUGGCUAAACAUGCGCCCCUACAAUGAAAGGAAACUCCAAUUUAGGUCUAAGCACUGUGUGUUUCUUGGGUAUAGUAACUUUCAUAAAGGUUACAAAUGUCUUGAUCCCUCUCAAGGGCGUGUUUAUAUUUCAAGAGAUGUAGUUUUUGAUGAAAACAUCUUUCCCUUCGCAUCCCUGCACUCCAAUGCCGGUGCUCGUUUGAGGACUGAGCUAAGUCUUCUACCUGAUAUACUUCUUAACCCGAUUUUCACACUUGGGGACGUACAAGUACAUGAUCCUUUGAUGAGUAAUUCUAUGCCAACUAACCCUGUGUACAGCCCUGGUGGAGCCACUGCUUAUGCAGGAACUGAUCGUGAGCCGGUUACUGAAGAAAGCGGUGGACAAUCUGUAGAAACUCCAAACAAUAGCCCACAUCCUAUGUGUUUCCCCGGCGGGAGCAGCACCGAGCCCGGAGAUGCUCCGCCUGUGGACGCUGGCGUAUCCGCUUCGGGAUCGGCAGGCGAGCCGCGUCAGUCCGAAUCGGGUCUGGCCCAAGGAUCUUCUGUGAGCGACCGUGGUUCACUCGUGCCUGAUGGUUCAGCUGUGGCUGCACACGAUGAUCAGCGGCGGGGUGCACUAACAGCCGGAACUGAUCCCGAUGUGGAUCUGGCGACUGGAUCCACUGCGGCGUGCCCUGAUGUUCCAACUUCGUUGCCAUCCUCACAUCAACACGCAACAUGCCUCCGCCAAUGUAUUAGCAAACCCAAACAGUUUACUGAUGGCACUGUUCGUUGGUGUAUGCAUUCUAAGUCUACAGCGGAGGAGCCUGCUACUGUUGGAGAUGCACUUCGUGAUCCAAAUUGGGUCGUUGCAAUGGAUGUGGAGCAUCAAGCACUACUCCGCAACAGGACUUGGCACCUUGUUCCACCUCCAGUUGGUAAGAAUAUUAUUGACUGCAAAUGGGUCUAUAAGGUCAAAAGAAAGGCAGAUCGUUCGAUUGAUCGUUACAAAGCACGUAUUGUGGCCAAGGGGUUUAAGCAGCGGUAUGGUAUUGACUACGAGGACACGUUUAGUCCUGUAGUCAAGGCGGCGACUAUACGGCUUGUUCUAUCCAUUGCAGUCUCUAGAGGUUGGUCACUGCGACAACUUGAUGUUCAAAAUGCUUUUUUACAUGGAGUUCUAGAAGAGGAAGUAUAUAUGCGUCAACCACCAGGGUACACUAACCAAGCAUGUCCUAAUUAUGUGUGCAAAUUGGACAAAGCUCUGUAUGGAUUAAAACAAGCUCCACGUGCAUGGUAUGCCAGGCUAUGCGGCAAGCUUGAAGCAUUAGGAUUCACUUCCUCCAAAGCUGACACUUCCUUGUUCUAUUAUAAUAAAGGAAGCAUUAAUUUGUUUGUGCUAGUCUAUGUGGAUGAUAUCAUUGUUGCAAGUUCCUCACAGAAAGCUACUGAUGCACUACUUCGUGACCUACAACAUGAUUUUGCACUCAAGGAUUUGGGAGAUCUCCAUUAUUUCUUGGGUAUAGAGGUCAGAGAAAGUGCGGUGAUGGUUUGGUUCUGUCUCAAGAACGAUAUGCCUCAGACAUUCUGUCACGAUCUAGAAUGCAUAAGUGUAAGCCAGUCGAUACACCAUUACCUAGCACCGAGAAGCUCAGCAUAGAAGGGGGAACUAAGCUUGGUUCUGAUGAUUCAUCUUGGUACAGGAGCUUGGUUGGAGCCUUAUAGUAUCUAACACUUACUAGGCCGGACAUUUCCUUUGCAGUGAAUAAGGUAUGCCAGUUUCUGCACGCCCCAACUACAAUACACUGGAGCGCUGUGAAACGAAUCCUGCGGUAUGUACAAGGCACCAUUGAUCUUGGACUCAGAAUUGGACCCUCUAGGAGUAUGCUUGUGAGUGCUUUCUCUGACGCUGAUUGGGCAGGUUGUGUUGAUGAUAGAAGAUCUAUAGGUGGCUUUGCUGUUUUUCUUGGCAGCAAUUUAAUCUCUUAGACUGCUAAGAAACAAUCAACUAUGUCGCGGUCAAGCACUGAGGCUGGAUACAAGGCUUUGGCAAAUGCAACUGCAGAGAUGAUCUGGGUUCAGAAAUUGUUGAAGGAACUCCAAGUCCAACACCCAGCCAUGGCACGGUUGUGGUGUGAUAAUUUAGGUGCUAAGUAUUUCUCAGGAAAUCCAAUUUUCCAUGCGAGAACAAAACACAUAGAAAUUGAUUUCCAUUUUGUCAGAGAGAGGGUAGCACAAAAAUUACUAGAUAUUAGAUUUAUCAGUUCUGGUGACCAGGUGGCUGACGGGUUUACCAAGGCUCUUCCCACUGUGAAACUAAAGAAGUUCAGAGACAAUCUCAACCUUGUAAACGGCUGAGAUUGAGAGGGGAUGUUAAACCGUGUGUAUUUGUGAGUGUCUAGGUUCAUGUCAUAGUCUAGAUACUUUGGUUAACCAUAGUCCUAAAUUGUAGGGCAAGUAGAUACUUAGCAUGUAGUUUGUUGUAACCAUAUUAUCUUGUUGUGUAAGCCACGGUGGGGGCUGUUCCCAGCUUUAUAUAACACGCAACCGAGGGAGCAAGGCUCAACCUCGUUAACCCCAGUUGCCAUCUCUUUUUACACUGACAUUGGUUGUUGCAUCUGUUGCCGCUAUGCACACACAGCCGUGCUCUUUUUUCUUUUGCUACUGAUUCUAGAAAAGGUGUGUGAAUGCGUCAGCACUUUCUGUCCACAAGUCCAUGCGGCAGAGAGAAAAUCAGAUGACAGGAGAGAAAAGGAACGGCGAGAGGGCAAUUUAGACUUUUAGGAUCCAUAUAUAUUCGCCAAAAAUGAAGUUUUUUCUUUGGUUAUCGUAUUACAGUAAUCCAAUGAUUUGAUUAUAACAAUCCAAAACAUAAUUGAUCUUGUUUGGAUCAUAAUCUGAUUACAUCAUAAUAAGGGUAUCUAAACGCCUUAGACCUUGUUUGGAUCAUAUUCUAAUUACAAUAAUCAUAAUAAGGGUAUCCAAAUUGGGUCUCAUCUUCUUUGGAUCAUAAUCCAUCUGAUUACAAUGAUCAUGACGGUAUCCAAACAGGGCUUUUGACUUUCAACAUCCAUAAUCGCCAAAAAUAAGUUUUUGGGAUUAUGGGAUUAUGGUACUAAGAGGAUUUGAUUAUAAUAAUUCAUAACAUAAUUGAUCUUGUUUGGAUCAUACUCUGACUAUAUAAUUAGAUUACAAUAAGGCCAGUCUCAAUGGAGUUUUAUUAGAGUUUCAUGCACAUUAAAUAUGCUGAUGUGACACUGUAUUAAUGAAGAAAGAGAUGAUAAGAGUUUCAUGGGAGUAGAGAGAGUUUCAUCCCCAUAAAACUCUUCUGCACUAUUUGUAAAAUAUAGAUAUAUUAGAAACUGAGCCAUAAAACCUCAGUUGAGGAUGGCCUAAGGGUAUCAAACAGGGUCAUAUCUCCUUACAUAUGACAACAAACAUACGUGAACCAUGCAAUGGAGCUGAUUCAAAGAAAGCAAUUUCAAUUUGCAAUAAUGUCUCUUUUCCGAACUCAUUCAUGUUUGUGACAAACCUACUUUCUAUUGGUAAAUAAAAUAUAGAUAUUAUUAUUUUUAACCCCAGUUUUAAACUACAUAUAAAAAGUAUUUAUGUUUUUUAGAAAAUAAAUAAUAAAUAUUGUUCACAAAUUGCUACCGCUAAACAUAUCAGAAUUCUACUAGUGUCGUGUUGCUACCCAACACCACAUUAUAUGCUUCAAUUGCCAUCCCUCCAGUAUGAGGUGGUAACCAGGGGUGGAUCCAACAUGGGGCUAUGGGGGCUCAUGCCCCCUACUACUUGCUAGGGCUCCAUAGAAAAAGAAGAUGAGGCUGAAUUAACAAAUGGCUAAUUAACCAGACAUUGAAAUGUAUACUCACCUAUGGGUGACUCUACUACUAGAAGAGUCAGUGUUAGUUGUUCGUUGAAGAAACAGUAGAAGGAAAGCCUAUAGCUACACCAAACGGAAGCUACCCUCCUCGGGGUCAGCUCAGGAGUGAAACCACCAACGCAUAAACAGUAGAAGGAAAGCCUGUAGUUACACCAAACAUAAGCUACCCUACUCGGGGUCAGCUCAGGAGUGAAACCACCAACGCAUCUAGUAGUUCGCUUUGACAAAUGUCACAAUCCUGUAGUGUCAUAGAUGGCAGAUAUUGUGUGGCUACACAAACUGUGGAUUGAAGGUCAAUUGUGUUGACAUUCAUCUACAUCGUGGCAAAGUAGGAAGGGGACAUUGUUCUCCCAUGUACCACAACUUUCUGUAGCUUAUCAAUGACAUUGACAUCAACAAAAUGUGUUGUCGUGAAUUACUAACUCAGUGCUCUCAAGACUCCUUACGACUAUACUGAUUGAAAGGGUCAUGAGGGAACAUCUUUAUCUUAUUUUAUAAUAGCCUACAAUGCACCCUCCUGAUUGACAGAAGACCCAUGCAUCUUUGAAAGCGGCAACAACACAUCUCUCGUACCCUAAGCUACUAGAGUAUCGCCAACACUACGUGAGUGCAUACAUAGACCUUCCUACCCUUGCGUGAAGUAACAAACUAAGAAAUAUCAAAAUUCUACUAGUGCCCAGCUACUACACAUCACCAUAUCAUUUGCUUCGAUCAAACCUCUCCAUCCUUAUACUAUGAGGUGGUAAACAGGAGUCAAUCUAGCAUGGGGACUAUGGGGGCUCAUGCCCUCGUACUACUUGCCAGAGCUCCAUGGAGUUAUUAAUAGACAGGGAGGAGAGAGGGGAAGAGUGAAGAAAAGAGAGAGAGGAAGAAGUAGAUGGGCUGAAUAAAACUUAUUACCGCAGAGAAUGUUUCCUUGAUAUCCUGCUACCACCCAAACCCAAAAAGAUACAUUGUGUCCAUUGUUGUUUGUUUUGAAGCAAGUGGCCAAACAAUUCAUGCAAAUGCAUGUAACCACAUAAGUGUAAGUCACUAAAUCAAUAGAAUAGAAAAUUAACAAAGAUUGCAACAUAUGCUCACCAAUGGGUGGUUUUGUUGGAAGGGUUAGUGUUGACUGUUCGUUGAAGAAACGAUAAAAGAAAAGCUUGUGGCCACACCAGACUAAAGUUACCCUACUAGAGUCACCUUAGGAGUAACAACACAUCUAUUAGUUUUUUCAAACAAAUGUUGCAAUCCUGAGAUGUCAACAAUGGCAAACACUGUGUGAUUAUGUAGAGUGUGACUUGAAGGCUAGUUGUGUUGACCUUUGUCUGCUUGGUGGCGAAGUAGGAAUGAGAGGUUGUUGUCCCAUGUGACAUAGCCUCGUGUAGCUUCUCAAAGUAGGGUGGAUCUAGAAUGGGACUAUAUGGGGGCUCAAGCCCCCCCUACUUGCCCAUGGUGGCAAGAAAAAGAGAGAGAUGUAAAAGAAUAUUGGACUAAAUGAGGAAGAAGGGAGAUAAGCACCCCUAAGACCUAAUUUAAUACAAAAUAGAUCGAAUAAUUCAAAAUAGGUAGAAUAAUGUGAUAUCUAGAACUUAGCAAGAUCAAGAACGUACUUAGUUUUGAAAGAAUUCUAAUAGCAUAGCAAUAACAAUGGUCCUUCAAAUUAAAUCAUGUCCAUAUCAAUUAACAACAAAUCAAUUAUCAAGCUAGUAUAGAUCUAUAUUGAGCCAUAUCAAAUAAUAUAUUUACAUUGCACUGAACCACUUCAUGUCUUUGAGAUAUUUUGAAUAAUUCGGGUAAUUGUGGUACCGGUGAAUAUUAUCCAAACUAAAUUCUGUUAAAUUACACAAGUACAAACGUAGACGUUCAACACACAUGCACACUCACCCCCUAUAAACACAUGUACGUAAAAUCCUACCCCUAUGAGUACCUUCGAAAGACUAUGCAGUCACAUCUUGAAAUUGAUGAAGUUACCACAGACGCCUCGCUAUUGAUAAGAACAUCACUACCACUGAAAGCAUAACGCUACUAAAUCCUGAAUUAAAUCCCAAAAAAUUCGAGCACCCGUACCAAGUCCAAAACUGGAAUCUAGAUGAGCAGGUUCCACCACAAGGAACCUAACUAUUUGAGCUAGGCUCAGUUUACAAAUUUAGAUAUUUAUAGUUAGAAUCCGAAACUGUUAUUGUGUAGUAAGACAAAAUUGUUAUUGGGUAUUUUGGCUUCAGAUACUUUGGGUGUGGAUUUGAGUAAUUUAUUUAUAGGGGAUUGAGUUUGGGUAUAUUUUGCCUAAGAGGCCGGGUUGCUGGGUUUGGGCAAAACACAGAAGGCUCGGUUUCCUAAUGCGGAAAGAGAACGCGUGCUAGACGCCUAGACUGCUAGUGACUCCUCGUGCCCACCAGAUCCUGGUCACUCUUUGUCGUUGUGUACUUGUGUGCACUCACACCAUUGGCAAUUUGAUCCUAAAAAAUUCACUUCUAGUUUGUUUCUGAGUGACUGAGCCGUUACACAUACUAGUAUAAGCCGCGCGCAUCUACGCGCGAGCACAGGUGAUCAUUUUCAGGUCAGGUAGAUGUAGAAUAUAUUUUUUUGAUGUGCAAGAAAUCUUCAUCACAUGCUAUAAUUCUGAGUAAACAGUUAUCUUAUAGUCGGACCACACCUGUUCAGCGAAGCAAAUGGCAAAAAUGAAUUGCAAGAAUAUUAAUUCUUAAAAAGCUCAGCAGCUGUACCCAACCAAAACAUCAAGUAUAGCCCUAUGAAACUUUAGCCAUGAAUUUUCCAUCCGGAGUCCAAUAACUUGCAAUGGAAACCAAGUCUACGUAUUAAUAGAUUACAUGGGAAGAUAUCAAUUGACAUUUUACGUGAAAAAAAAGAUAGCACUUGACAUCAGUGAACAUGUAAGAGGAGGUAAAACGUAUAUCUUGUUUGUAGGCAAUGCACUCUACUUGGACCAGUGUGUGCUUUCGGUGUGCAAGUCUAUCAAGAAUGCCCACUUUGCUCAUUUCUGUCUAUCCUGAAAAGUGAUGGCGUGAGAUAAAUAAAGAGAACCGAUGAUUAAAACAUACUCAAUAUGAAUUAUUUGCAAAAGGAAGGGCUGUGUGAAGAGUGGAAGGACAAAGGAGGUUGUUGUAAUAGAAUUAUCAUUUGAGUAGAAUUCAAUCCGAGAGAGCACAUGAAGGAGCCUUGGUAAAAUUACCUUUGCGAUAUCCGAAUUCAAUUGAGAAUCUAAGAAUCACAAUAGAAUGAUGACGAAGCAGCAAUUUAACUCUCCCCAUUGAUCAAGCAGGCUGACUACACAAGAAAAGCAGCCACUUUAUUUUUUUUUUCAUGAUUCUUAACGAUGUGACAUGAAAACUGAAUAUAUGCUUUAUCUUAUCAAAACACAAAAGAUGAACCAUGCAGAACAAUGUUAGCUAAAAACCCAUGUAUAUCUAUCUGCCACUUCCACCAUACCUAGGACAUUGCUUUUAUCUUAUCAAACAAUAAAUAGGUUUGAAAUAAUAUUCUUGUAGUACUAAUUCAUAGGAAUAGUAUGAAUAUAAAGGUAAGGAAUUGCUUCGUCUGCACCUCUGUCUAUUUACACAUUUUGAAGGAGUAGACAUGUAGAAGGUAAAAUUCCUCUCAUAACAUCUAAAUAAGAUAUAGCAAUGUGGAGGCAUGGUGAGAGUAACUCUGUUGGAGGGACAAGAAAAUUCUAGAAAUACAGUCCCCAGCAAUGGUAUAUCUUGUUGACUAAUCACACACACGGUUCACAAAUGAUUUUCUAACAUUCGCUAAACAGAGGCAAAGAUUCAGCCUUUUAAAAGACCAGUGCAGGAUAGAAUGUAUGAACAAUUUGAUUACAUGAGAAGAAACUAUAGUUUUAUAAUGUAUAAGGAGACACCGGUCCUGGCAUCAAGAUCAGCCAACUGAUGAGAUGCCGAGGCCUUCAGAUUUUUCAUUAUGUCAGUUUUAUUACUAUAUUCUAGCAGGUAUAGGCACCAUGCUAGCUAAAUUCAAGAAAUAGGGCAUCACGGUCACCAUCUUUUAGGUCUUGAUUUUCUUUGGAUCUUGGCAGGUAGAACCAUUUCCACAUAUUAAUUCAAUUUAUAGUUUCAAGUGGGUGACAUAAUCCGAGAGUUAAAAAACAGACACCAAGUAAAUAGCUCAAUCAAGACUAUAUUUUCUCUUUUUUCUAUUGAGGUCUACUUUUGAGGAUUAUUCAGUUGAUACAAAAAAUGAUAUAAAAUUAUAGGAUAGUCACAAAUAGACUGCAUCUACAGGGCAAAGAAUUCAAUCGAUAUAUGCGCAAGAGGGGAAAAUAACUCCAAAUAUGGUGGUACGAAUUAAAGUGCUGGGAAAAUAGCUGUAUAUUCAUUUUUAGUGCAAUGCUUUGAGAUUCAUCCUCUAUUCUCUCCUGGAUUGUUCUUAGCAAGCAGCCUACAGAUCAAAAGAAACCAUUUGACAGAGAAUCAGACAGCACUCAAGGGAUGGCCAUAAAGCAAAUACCUUUUAUAUGGAAAAAUUGUCUCCAUCACCAAAUUGGUUUGCUUCUUCUCCUAAUCCAUCUCCCUCCGCCAUAUGAAAUUGUUGUUCAUAUCUUGCUGCCCUGAGGACAAGGGGUCACGAGAACCAAAUAUGGAGAAGCAGCUUACAUUGGCAAGCCUUGGGUCACACAAAGAAGCUUACCUCUGCUAAUGCUGUCUUGGUUCACAUAGACAAGGUUACCAAUCGAGAACACCCCUUUGUGGAAAACCACACACUACCAACCUCUUUAUGGAAAAUAGAACUUACAGGAAGGGUCUUAAUAAGACUUAAGAAAGAUAUAAUGCUUCACAUGGAGCAUAGUAAAUUGUUUUUUAUGGUUGAAAAUUCCUAUUGCAGUACUUUAUCCAGCAUUUAGAACAAACAACAACAGCAAAAAACAGUACUGAUCAGCAGGGGCAAUGUAUACUAACCUCCAAAAAUAAAGGUAAAUGUAGUACAAAGGGCACCAUAUAUACUAACCUCUAAAUUGUACUGGCCAGCAAGCACAGUGAAGUUUAAACUUAAAUAUGUUAGUUGAUGUGCCAGAAGGAUAAGACCAAAACAUAUAAGGAAGAAAACAAAGAAGAUAGAUCUGCACCAAGCAGAAACAGAGGGUCCCAUUGCAGUCACCCAACUAUAUGAACCUGUGCCAAGUAAAUGCAUCAUUGGCAAUGAGAUGUGCUCAGUAAUAUAACAAUUAACAAAUUAUGUGGAUCAAAGAGAUCAUUGACAAUGGAAUUAUGCUUGGUAACAAACCCACAAAAUGUAGGAACUAAAUAUAAACAAAACAACACGUGCAAAUGAGAACUUCUGAGCCAUUAUGACAUUGCCAUCACAAAAUUAAUGCAAGUAGCAAGAAUCAUGGUAAAUCAAAUAAUCAUCACAUUUGCAAGACAAACCUAUUUUUUGAAAGUGAAAUUAUCUUGUUGGCAUGGAUGCUUUGCAAGCGAGAAUAAAAAUUCAUCCCAAAACCAAAAUAUCUCAAUAGGCAAACAUUAAAUAUUAGUUGCAUACAACCGUAGCUGAUGUAGAGCUGCUAUUCUAAAAAGGGUGAAAUUUCUUAAUAGUAGCAUGAAAAAGGCAUGGGAUCUAAUUUGCUUGCUAUGAGAAUUUGUGAGUGAUGCCACGGUGCCAUAUGCUAACCAACAUAGCAACAGUUACGUUAUAUAGAGAUAACUUAAACAUUACCAAUUUCAAAGCAUGAUAAAUUCAGCCUCAGAAAUAAAAUGUGAACAAGCUAGUAACAAUAGUGACUACCUGCUUGGCCUGAAACAAUAUGCUCCACCCAAAACAAAACACUUUCAAGACAACAAUCAAGUUGGAUGAAGCAAAUAGCUACGUCAGAACUAAGAGUUGUUCUAGAUUUAAGCAACAGCUAACUACAUAUUUAAAAUAUCUACCGAUUCAUAACGGUAUGCACAUCAAUAAACACUGGGAAACUUGCAGCCAAAUUAGUAGCAAAAAGAUGAGGAUAGGCAGCUAGGGUUUUCUGUAGCACAGGCGCACAGUUCGUGUGCAUAUAGAUCCCAUCCAUAGCAAACUGGAACAAACCUCCGUGAACACUAGGAGAGGGAGAUCUGGCAGGAAGAGGUAAGGGGAGAGAGGGGGGACCAAACCGAGGAGGGGAUGGUGCGAGGACUGCCGAGAGAAGGUUGCACUACGGGCUAGGGCAGCCGUGCAGCGCACUAUGCCAGGAGGUGGCCACCACGGCACCACCAGGCCGUUGGCGUGGAUGCUCCGCACAGCGGCGGCGGCGGCGGCGGUGGCCAUAGCGCUCGCAUGUGGAGGUGGCCGCACUGGGGCCGGUCCUCUGCGUCACCACGUCGACAGAGAGAGAGAGAGAGAGAGAGAGGUGAAGAGGGAGGAGAGGGAGAGGGAAGGAAGGCGCAGGCAGGCAAGGGGAUGGGGGCGCGAGCAGCGUAGUCGACGAGGCGGCGUGGAGAGGAGUAGCCAAGCAGGAGCGGAAGGGGCCUAGGGAGGCCGGGCGUGGAA
This 21659-nucleotide long non-coding RNA is filed under the name Sorghum bicolor (sorghum). RNAcentral's name for it is "long non-coding RNA (SBIC_LNC013657)". The stretch from base 9771 to 9909 matches the Rfam family "Small nucleolar RNA Z247". Lineage: Eukaryota; Viridiplantae; Streptophyta; Magnoliopsida; Poales; Poaceae. The record is from RNAcentral.